RNAcentral lists this ribosomal RNA (1136 nucleotides) under uncultured Malassezia. RNAcentral describes it as "eukaryotic LSU rRNA". The stretch from base 657 to 1136 matches the Rfam family "Eukaryotic large subunit ribosomal RNA", at positions 1 to 488 of the family's 3401-position model. Lineage: Eukaryota; Fungi; Basidiomycota; Malasseziomycetes; Malasseziales; Malasseziaceae. The record is from RNAcentral.
AGAGCAUGUGAACUGAGACCAUGGGCGGCCAUACGGACGCCAAAAAGUGUCCCUGGCCGCCUACACCCACUAUACAUCCACAAACCCGUGUGCACUGUCUUGGAGAAAGGCUUCAGAGAAGUUUUUUGUGGCCUCUCUUGGGGUCUUUCUUCGCUACAAACUCGAAUGGUUAGUAUGAACGUGGAACUUGGUUGGACCGUCACUGGCCAACAAACUAUACACAACUUUCGACAACGGAUCUCUUGGUUCUCCCAUCGAUGAAGAACGCAGCGAAACGCGAUAGGUAAUGUGAAUUGCAGAAUUCCGUGAAUCAUCGAAUCUUUGAACGCACCUUGCGCUCUAUGGCAAUCCGUAGAGCAUGCCUGUUUGAGUGCCAUGAAAUCUCCCACCCCAAGCGGUUUUUACAUGAAACGGCUUGGCGGAUGGGGUCUGGAUGGGUGCCUCUGCCUGCGCUACCUAGCACAGGCUCGCCCGAAAUGCAUGAGCGCCUUGAGACACUUUGCAUCCGCCUCUCUGUUUGGGAGGAGGCGGCCAAGCAGUGUUUUUCUCCUGGCAUGGCAUGAUACGUCAUUUGCUAUGUCGCCUAAAGGAGGAAUGUUUGGUUGUGUCUGCGUGUGCUUCGAACUUGCCUCUGUGGCACAUCCCAAUUUCACUUCUGGUCUCAAAUCAGGUAGGAUCACCCGCUGAACUUAAGCAUAUCAAUAAGCGGAGGAAAAGAAACUAACAGGAUUCCCCUAGUAACGGCGAGCGAAGCUGGAAGAGCUCAAAUUUGAAAGCUGGCGUCUUCGGCGUCCGCGUUGUAAUCUCGAGACGUGUUUUCCGUGCGGCUCUAUGGACAAGUCCCUUGGAACAGGGUAUCGUAGAGGGUGAAAAUCCCGUACUUGCCAUGGAAAUACCGUGCUUUGUGAUACACGCUCCAAGAGUCGAGUAGAUUGAGAUAGCUGCUCCAAGUGGGUGGUAAACUCCAUCUAAGCUAAUAACGGGGAGAGACCCAUAGCGAACAAGUACGUGGAGGAAAGAGACAACCCCUUCGUAAAGAGAGUUAAAAUACGUAAAUGUGCCAAAGGGAACCAUUGGAGUCUGCAUUCUGCUGAGAACUCAACCUGGCUUUUGCUUGGGGUAUUUUCCGGACACAG